AAUUUAAUUCGCAAGCACUAUAUUUGAGCCUGUAACUCUCCAAGACACCAUAAAACCUGUACAUAGGGGUACUGUUUUACUCGGGAGACUUCGCUGAACUCAAAUAUUAGUGUUUCAAACUGGUAAAUUGUAUUACAAUGAUGAUAUUUUAAGGAAAAGUGAACACUAAUAUUUGUGUUUAGUGAAGUCUCCCGAGAAUAACAGUAACCCCCAUGUACAGGUUUUAUGGUGUUUUGGAAAGUUAGAGAGUCACAUAUAAGGCUUGCAUAUCAUUUU
This is a non-coding RNA of Pelobates cultripes (western spadefoot toad), 276 nucleotides long. NCBI's taxonomy places the organism in Eukaryota, Metazoa, Chordata, Amphibia, Anura, Pelobatidae. The record is from the annotation of a GenBank genome assembly.